Molecule: unclassified non-coding RNA, 818 nt
Filed under: Hevea brasiliensis (rubber tree)
Lineage: Eukaryota; Viridiplantae; Streptophyta; Magnoliopsida; Malpighiales; Euphorbiaceae
Source: RNAcentral
AGUAGCCGUUAAACAAUCAAUUUCCUUGAUGAUGGCAGCUAUCCCUAUAACUUGAUGUGGAUGAAGGUUUUGCCACAUUGCUGUCUGCAGAUAAUAUUUUCUUUGCUCUUCAUUGAAAGGCUUAGUUAACGCAUUCAUAUCAACACCAUAGUAAGUUUUGGUGUCUUCCACAAAAUUAUACCAAUCAUCCAUUGCUCCAUCAUAAUCACCCUUUUUUUGAUCUACCAAUCCAGACCUAAUAGGUGCCAUCCACAUGCGGGCAUGGCUUGGAUACAUGACUCCACUUGGUUUGAGCCAGCGGUCACGAGCACAUAUCACUGAAUCAAACAUAGAUUCACGGAGAAGGAAGUAACCCAUCCAUUCUGAGAUGAUUACAUCAACUUUCUCUGGCAAAGUAACAUCCUCCAUAGAACCCUCAAUCACUUCAACCACAUCUUGGAGAUUAUUUUCUUUGACUAGAGUCCGGGCAUGCUCUGCCAUCUUAGUUGCUUCCACUGCAUAGACUUUACUUGCACCUGCUUGCGCUGACCAUAUCGCAAGAAUACCGCUCCCUGUCCCUACAUCCAACACCACCUUUCCAUGAAAGUGGUGCUUGUUUUGAAAAAUGGCGUUAUAAUAAGCGUCCAUGCGGACUCGAUCGGAAAGCAUCUCUUUCUGGUGAUAGAGAAAAGCGUAGGUGCAGAAAUAUUGAGCGAAAUCGACGUCCUUAUCGACGAGGGCGGCUCCUCCAUUGCUACUGGAAGCACGGUCGCCGUUGUGGUGGCUGCCCAUAGGUAUCGACUCCUCUCCGGCCGGCGUCUUUCCAGAUAAGCGAGAAG